CGUGUAGGCGGUCAGGUAAGUGGAAUGUGAAAUGCCCCGGCUCACCCGGGGACCGGCAUCCCAAACUGCCUGGCUUGAGUAUGGGAGAGGAUGGAGGAAUUCCUGGUGUAGCGGUGAAAUGCGUAGAUAUCAGGAGGAAUACCGGUGGCGAAGGCGUCCAUCUGGCCCAAUACUGACGCUGAGGCGCGAAAGCUAGGGGAGCAAACGG
This 208-nucleotide ribosomal RNA is filed under the name uncultured Latescibacterota bacterium. Its description in RNAcentral is "uncultured Latescibacteria bacterium partial 16S ribosomal RNA". It matches the Rfam family "Bacterial small subunit ribosomal RNA", at positions 568 to 775 of the family's 1533-position model. The record is from RNAcentral. Lineage: Bacteria; Pseudomonadati; Candidatus Latescibacterota.